UUGGCCCUGAAUCAAGGCUGGUGGUUUGUUGUAACCACUGGUUUCAAACAGGAGCCCAGAUAAACGCCUUCCUGUGGUCUGUUGGCUGUUUCAUAGUUUCAGGAUGGAACAGUCAAUUCAGUUGGAAGCAACAACC
Sphaerodactylus townsendi is the source of this 136-nucleotide small nucleolar RNA. The record is from RefSeq and is a predicted model, not a curated record. NCBI's taxonomy places the organism in Eukaryota, Metazoa, Chordata, Lepidosauria, Squamata, Sphaerodactylidae.